This 253-nucleotide ribosomal RNA is filed under the name uncultured bacterium. RNAcentral's name for it is "partial 16S ribosomal RNA". It matches the Rfam family "Bacterial small subunit ribosomal RNA", at positions 524 to 776 of the family's 1533-position model. The record is from RNAcentral.
UACAGAGGUCUCAAGCGUUGUUCGGAAUCACUGGGCGUAAAGGGUGCGCAGGCGGCGCGGAAAGUCAGAUGUGAAAUCCGGAGGCUCAACCUCCGAAUUGCAUCCGAUACUCCCGCGCUAGAGAUUUGUAGAGGAGCUUGGAAUUCUCGGUGUAGCAGUGAAAUGCGUAGAUAUCGAGAAGAACGCUCGCAGCGAAAGCGAAGCUCUGGGCAACAUCUGACGCUCAUGCACGAAGGCCAGGGGAGCAAACGGG